Molecule: long non-coding RNA, 3877 nt
Organism: Zingiber officinale
Lineage: Eukaryota; Viridiplantae; Streptophyta; Magnoliopsida; Zingiberales; Zingiberaceae
Exons: 5
Source: RefSeq, a predicted model, not a curated record
UGCUUCUAAUGGCAAGGGCGGUGGAUGGUUGGGUACGUAUUUAUCGUGUUGGUGAAGUAUCGCUCCAGAGAUAUCCAAAUGGUGGAGCGACGCCGUGAAGCUUCCGAUGCGAUGGCCGAUAGAGAGAUGAAAGCGGCGGCGCGAUGUCCACCGGAGUCCGAGACUGACGAGGGCGAAGAAGAAAGAGGACGUUAUGGCAGCGAUAGAGGCCCAAGGCCGAAGAACAAGCGUUCGGGUUGCGCUUCUCUGUUGAUUCCGCAUCUGGCGCUCCCAUGAGUUCCAUUAUCGGGUUAGAAUGUUUGAAUGAAUGACGCGGGAAGCAUCCUGCUGUAUCGCGAUCUGUGCUUGAGGAACGCCAGAGUUAAUGGAAUUUGGGAGCUUCAUGUGGUGUUUAUGAUCUCCCUUGUUGGGCUAGGGUUUGAGUUCCAUCUCCAAAAUUUUCAAAUUUUCAUGUGUUUAUUGAAGGUUUGCGAUGGCACUUAAUAGGUUUUGCCAAAUUUUCGUACUAUUUAUCAAAGCUAAGAUAUCUUAAUGUUAAAUUUUCAAUAUUCGAUUUUGGUAUAUUCUUUAUAUCCUGGCGAGAUACCAGUCGCGGGAGGGAAUUUAUCACACUUCCUUUUAAUACUUAACUAUUGCUAACUUAAGGAGUUGGACUCUUUCCUAUAAGAUCUAUCUCAGCCAGAAAGGUAGUUGUUGCCAUGGACGGUGGGCAUUCCUUUUGUGACCCGAGGAGAGGAAGAAUCAAUUAUUAAAUUCAAAUCUUUAGUUAUUAGUUAGAUUAAUCAUAUACUGUUUUAAUUAUUCUUCCCUAACUCCUAGAGCGCUUGAGCACAUAAGCUUAAACCCAUAGUUUCGUUUUUGUUUUGAAUUCUUCCCCGGAGUUUCGUUUUUGCAUUUGUCACGCAAAUCAUAAAAUGAUCUUUCAUCUUCAAUUGUUCUCCUUUUUACUCAUACUCAAGAGCUUUCAAGAAAGGAUCUUAGGCCCCGGAGACCGGCGAGGCAGGUUCCAUAGCGAAGCACUAUUGGGCGGAGCUCUCUUUCGAUCAAUACAUUCAUGAAAUAUUCGAGUGAGAAGAAAGGGAGAAGAUUCAUUGUUUCUAUAUAACACAAAGAUUCUGAUGAAGAUAUUCGACUAACGGAACGAAGCAGUGAAAUAAAUAAAUAAAUAAUGAUUCAAAAAAUACACGUAGAAAGAAUCAGAACAGAUUAUAGUAAUUGCGUGAAUGGCAUGUGCCAUUCACUCUAACCCUAUCCCUACCCUAAAUAUUUGACCUAACGAGCUAUCUAAUGAUACGCCAGCAAAUUACAGCGUGAAUGACUAUUCAAAACUAGGAAAGAUCUGACCUUGCCAUACUAACUUAAAGCGAUCCCGUCGUUACACUUGACCCUAACUUUAUUUGAGCCCUUCGGUUCUCCUUCAAUUCUGGCCCUACUCAGGACUUUAAGAUCCGGCUCCUUGGUUUAAUCUGUUCUUGUUGCUGCUGGCUCCGCUACUUUCAUUCCAGUAGCUAGACGAGUUAAAUCAGUUCCGGUUGCGUAAGUAGUUGCUUUCCGUUGCAGCUUGUGUUUCAUAAGCUUAAUCGUAGGUGAAAGAUGGUUUUUAUUCGUCCCUCCCCAUUGCUCGAGCCCUUUUAAUCAUUUGAGUUAUUGUCCUCGUCCCGGCGAACUAUAGGUGCUACGCCUGAUCACUGAACUCAAAUUGGAACAGAACUCGUAAGGAUUCCCCGGUACAAGCUUUAUAAUGAAUCUUGUCCACUCCUCAAAGUCGAGUUACCGAGCGUAAAAGGUUGUUCGUUCCUCUCUUCUCUUGCGUAUCCGAUAAGUCGAGUGUAUUCCCCCUGUCGUUCUCACUCGACCCUUGACUUCUAAGCCUCAAACCGGAAUUAAGCUACACCUAUCCUGCAACUCAAUAUAAAAAGUGCCUACCUUCUUUCUUUCCUAGAACUGCAGCAGCAGCUUCUUGCGUUGAGAAUUCCUGAAGUUGAUUAUAAGUUGCCAUGAAUGGCAUCUUGUUUGAUUCUUUACCUGUUGCUAAAGGAGCUACGCCAACUGGUGCCUAGCCUGAGGAUAAAAACACAGGCACCAGCUUCUUUGAGUCCUGAGCCCGAGUCCGUAGAAGCUAAUCCUAUAGUGGAAUAGGACCUUCCCUAAUUCCCACCCACGGGAACAGAGGCUAUUUCAAUUUUCCUCAAACACAGGUGCUAGGACAACUGAAGCUACUGCUGCUAAUAUAUAUAAGGCAUAAACAACAGGACUCUUUCCAUGAACUCACUCUUUAUCUGUUAAUGGAAUCUCUUUCAACAGGUGCGGUGCCUUAUUGAAUUGAACCCAUAUUGAGCAGCUGCUGGCAAUAUAACUUAUAAUGAUAGUUCACUCGUUCCUUUCACCCAAUGGUCGAGUGUAAAUAAGGAACGAAGCCUCUUAAGAACUCUAACCCCGCUGCUACCGAAUCAGAAAGGAAAGAAAAAACUAUCAAACCGGAAACAACAACAGGAGCUGCAGCCUUUGAUCUUCAUUGCCUACCGCGGAGAGAGUAUAAUGAAUAUAUGGCAUAUAACCAUCUCAGUAUCUUAUCUUUCCCUUGUACGCAGGUGGAGUCCUUGAAGUCCGGAAAAGAAAAGAUACGGUGAGAUAAACAAUGAGAACUAGAUUAAUGCCAUACUUUGAGCUUCAUGAAAUGCUACUAGUCUGUGCCCAUCCAGCUUUCAGCUAUUAGACGAAUUUUAUCUUAGUAAAAUCUUUUUAUCAGUCGAUGAUGGUGGAUGUUUAGGCAUCCUUGUCCAACUGUUUGUUUAAGUGAAAGAAUCAAGAUGCCAAUGGUGCUUGGAUCUUUGCAUAUUGAAGAAAAUGACACAUUAGGCACUAUGAUGUGUAUAUUUUGACUUAGGCAUAAUGAGGCUAUGAUAAUGUUUGGGAUGUGUUUGUCCAAUGGAAGUAGCAUAUAUAUCUGUAGGGGGUUGGUAAAAAUUGUUGUUAUGAGAAAAUUAAGUCGAAUAGUUUCACUGAAGACUGUAAAAGUAGCAUAUAUUGAAAACUUUUUUAUUUGGUACUGAAUGUGCUUUGAUUUUUGGACGUCCAUAUAGAAGUAAAUUCUUGUGUUCCCUAUGGUAAUUUUCUCCAAGAAUUAUAUUUAUUUAGUAAGAAUGUUUAUGGACUAACUUCCUCAUUAUAGCAGCACAUUAAGAGAAAUAGCGUAAGGGAAUACAAUGGUAGUGAUAAAAUUGCAAAAUUUGUUUUUUUAUUAAAGUGUUUACUUGUCCAAUCAUUUCUUUGAUUUAUGGAUUUGAGUGUCCAUGUUGAUGAAUGAUUAUUGGUUACUUUGAGUGUCCUCACUUCAGGAUCUGGCUUAAUGAAGAAGAAAGGAUUUAAGGGAUCCUUAGCUGAUAUGGGAUAGUCCUCUAAGUUUUAGCUGGUGUUCAUAGUUUCGUUGCAUGUCUUCUAAAGAGAUUCAGAGGAAAGGAUGAUGUUUGCAGCUAUUAAUGCAGGCAAAGCUGGGUGGAAUGAAAACUAAGAUCUUGUAUGAGUGGAGAACAACCUUUCCUACGGAUUUUACAUAACCAUGUUGCACAAGUUGCAUCCCCACUUCAGAAGAUACAGCUUCUUGCUUAGGUUCAAUGCUUUGCAACAAUACAACAUGGUUCACCAGGAGUCCUGCUUCAGAGUUGCCUCAGCUUUGGAACAUUCUCAUGUCUCAUCCAGGGACUCAAUAAAAAUCAGGAUGCAGUCACUCUUCCUCGCAUGGCCAGUCAACACCUUUAUUGGACGCACUGCUAACUUGUCCGUCUGUCAUCGAAUUUACUAUAGAAUCUACAAUUGUCAUGAUCUUAAUUGUCACACCAUGAAAAACUGCAAACAAUUCUUACAUAGGGUUAUUACA